This 492-nucleotide ribosomal RNA is filed under the name uncultured bacterium. RNAcentral's name for it is "partial 16S ribosomal RNA". It matches the Rfam family "Bacterial small subunit ribosomal RNA", at positions 29 to 507 of the family's 1533-position model. The record is from RNAcentral.
AGUGAACGCUGGCGGUAGGCCUAACACAUGCAAGUCGAACGGCAGCACAGUAAGAGCUUGCUCUUACGGGUGGCGAGUGGCGGACGGGUGAGGAAUACAUCGGAAUCUACUUUUUCGUGGGGGAUAACGUAGGGAAACUUACGCUAAUACCGCAUACGAACUACGGGUGAAAGCAUGGGAUCUUCGGACCUCGCGCGAUCGAAUGAGCCGAUGUCGGAUUAGCUAGUUGGCGGGGUAAAGGCCCACCAAGGCGACGAUCCGUAGCUGGUCUGAGAGGAUGAUCAGCCACACUGGAACUGAGACACGGUCCAGACUCCUACGGGAGGCAGCAGUGGGGAAUAUUGGACAAUGGGCGCAAGCCUGAUCCAGCCAUGCCGCGUGGGUGAAGAAGGCCUUCGGGUUGUAAAGCCCUUUUGUUGGGAAAGAAAAGCAGCAGGUUAAUACCCCGCUGUUCUGACGGUACCCAAAGAAUAAGCACCGGCUAACUUCGUG